This 461-nucleotide ribosomal RNA is filed under the name Arthrobacter echini. Its description in RNAcentral is "bacterial SSU rRNA". It matches the Rfam family "Bacterial small subunit ribosomal RNA", at positions 891 to 1352 of the family's 1533-position model. The record is from RNAcentral. Lineage: Bacteria; Bacillati; Actinomycetota; Actinomycetes; Micrococcales; Micrococcaceae.
AGGCUAAAACUCAAAGGAAUUGACGGGGGCCCGCACAAGCGGCGGAGCAUGCGGAUUAAUUCGAUGCAACGCGAAGAACCUUACCAAGGCUUGACAUGAACCGGAAUGAUGCAGAGAUGUGUCAGCCACUUGUGGCCGGUUUACAGGUGGUGCAUGGUUGUCGUCAGCUCGUGUCGUGAGAUGUUGGGUUAAGUCCCGCAACGAGCGCAACCCUCGUUCCAUGUUGCCAGCGGGUUAUGCCGGGGACUCAUGGGAGACUGCCGGGGUCAACUCGGAGGAAGGUGGGGACGACGUCAAAUCAUCAUGCCCCUUAUGUCUUGGGCUUCACGCGUGCUACAAUGGCCGGUACAAAGGGUUGCGAUGCUGUGAGGUGGAGCUAAUCCCAAAAAGCCGGUCUCAGUUCGGAUUGAGGUCUGCAACUCGACCUCAUGAAGUUGGAGUCGCUAGUAAUCGCAGAUCAG